UGGACAGUCUAACUAGAGAUUUAGCAAUAUCACUGAUAUUUCCAAAGAAACAAUUUUGGUUUCAUUGAUUUUCUCUAUUGUUUUUCUACAGUGUAUUUCAUGUA
Molecule: non-coding RNA, 104 nt
Organism: Ceratotherium simum simum (southern white rhinoceros)
Lineage: Eukaryota; Metazoa; Chordata; Mammalia; Perissodactyla; Rhinocerotidae
Source: RefSeq, a predicted model, not a curated record